Molecule: ribosomal RNA, 274 nt
Filed under: uncultured bacterium
Lineage: Bacteria
Description: partial 16S ribosomal RNA
Rfam family: Bacterial small subunit ribosomal RNA
Source: RNAcentral
CUACGGGGGGUGCAAGCGUUGUCCGGAAUCAUUGGGCGUAAAGGGUUCGUAGGUGGAAUUAUAAGUCUGGUGUGAAAGCCCACAGCUCAACUGUGGAACUGCACUGGAUACUGUUUUUCUUGAGUUAUAGAGGGGUUUGUGGAAUUUCUGGUGUAGAGGUGAAAUUUGUAGAGAUCGGAAAGAACACCGGUGGCGAAGGCGACAAACUGGCUAUUAACUGACACUGAGGAACGAAAGCGUGGGGAGCGAACAGGAUUAGAAACCCUAGUAGUCC